CCUACGGGAGGCAGCAGUGGGGAAUAUUGGACAAUGGGCGCAAGCCUGAUCCAGCCAUGCCGCGUGGAUGAUGAAGGCCCUAGGGUUGUAAAGUCCUUUCGACGGGGAAGCGGUACCCGUAGAAGAAGCCCCGGCUAACUUCGUGCCAGCAGCCGCGGUAAUACGAAGGGGGCUAGCGUUGCUCGGAAUCACUGGGCGUAAAGCGCACGUAGGCGGACUCUUAAGUCGGUGGUGAAAUCCUGGAGCUCAACUCCAGAACUGCCUUCGAUACUGAGAGUCUCGAGUCCGGGAGAGGUGAGUGGAACUGCGAGUGUAGAGGUGAAAUUCGUAGAUAUUCGCAAGAACACCAGUGGCGAAGGCGGCUCACUGGCCCGGACUGACGCUGAGGUGCGAAAGCGUGGGGAGCAAACAGGAUUAGAUACCCUUGUAGUC
This 432-nucleotide ribosomal RNA is filed under the name uncultured bacterium. Its description in RNAcentral is "partial 16S ribosomal RNA". It matches the Rfam family "Bacterial small subunit ribosomal RNA", at positions 338 to 795 of the family's 1533-position model. The record is from RNAcentral.